This 85-nucleotide transfer RNA is filed under the name Simiduia agarivorans. RNAcentral describes it as "tRNA-Leu". It matches the Rfam family "tRNA". From Rfam's summary of the family: Transfer RNA (tRNA) molecules are approximately 80 nucleotides in length. Their secondary structure includes four short double-helical elements and three loops (D, anti-codon, and T loops). The record is from RNAcentral. Lineage: Bacteria; Pseudomonadati; Pseudomonadota; Gammaproteobacteria; Cellvibrionales; Cellvibrionaceae. RNAcentral also lists the same sequence under 2 other names.
GCCGAAGUGGUGGAAUUGGUAGACACGCAGUGUUCAGGUCGCUGUGCCUUCGGGUGUGAGAGUUCGAGUCUCUCCUUCGGCACCA